This 259-nucleotide long non-coding RNA is filed under the name Hordeum vulgare. Its description in RNAcentral is "long non-coding RNA (HVUL_LNC018556)". The record is from RNAcentral. Lineage: Eukaryota; Viridiplantae; Streptophyta; Magnoliopsida; Poales; Poaceae.
AGAGCGACGCUAUCGGGGACAGGAGACCGCUUACUCGGGUCGACGUCCGUUUCUCACCUCCGUUUCCGAGCGAUCCGGCCGGCCGGGGGCGCUCCGGUCGCCGCCGGUGUGGGCCACGCAUGGCCUCAGUCUGAACCCGAGGAAAACAGGGAAAGCGUCGCGUGUACGUACGAGCAGCCGUGGUGCUGAUUCUAGAUGCGCAUGAACAUGGGAAGUACUGUUGGAUACUGACGAGCAGUCCAGCCUUACCAGAGUUCAG